RNAcentral lists this ribosomal RNA (390 nucleotides) under uncultured bacterium. RNAcentral describes it as "bacterial SSU rRNA". It matches the Rfam family "Bacterial small subunit ribosomal RNA", at positions 29 to 416 of the family's 1533-position model. The record is from RNAcentral.
AAUGAACGUUGGCGGCGUGGAUUAGGCAUGCAAGUCGAACGGCAGCACGGGAGCAAUCCUGGUGGCGAGUGGCGAACGGGUGAGUAAUAUAUCGGAACGUGCCCAGUCGUGGGGGAUAACGCAGCGAAAGCUGUGCUAAUACCGCAUACGAUCUCUGGAUGAAAGCGGGGGACUCGCAAGGGCCUCGCGCGAUUGGAGCGGCCGAUAUCAGAUUAGCUAGUUGGCGGGGGUAAAGGCCCACCAAGGCGACGAUCUGUAGCUGGUCUGAGAGGACGACCAGCCACACUGGAACUGAGACACGGUCCAGACUCCUACGGGAGGCAGCAGUGGGGAAUUUUUGGACAAUGGGCGCAAGCCUGAUCCAGCAAUGCCGCGUGCAGGAUGAAGGCC